This 561-nucleotide long non-coding RNA is filed under the name Trifolium pratense (red clover). Its description in RNAcentral is "long non-coding RNA (TPRA_LNC008299)". Lineage: Eukaryota; Viridiplantae; Streptophyta; Magnoliopsida; Fabales; Fabaceae. The record is from RNAcentral.
GAAAGGGAAGCUUACCUUUGAGGUUGGAGAUGAGAAAAUCGAGUUUAUACUGUCUCAAUUCACGAAAGGCCCCACCUUCAAGAACUCUUGUUGUAGACUCGAGAAAGUUGAAGGACAUAUCGAUAAACCCACCUAUGAACAAGUCCCUCCUGACAUACUAAAAUCCCACCCAGUAAAUGAUAUCUUCCAGAAUACGAAACACAAAGAGGGUGAGGAUUAUGAGAAUAUACUAGGUGGAUUUCGUGAUACUCAUGACCAGAUUUUUAAAGAAUGCCAAAUGUUGGCACAUGGGAAGAUUCACACAGUGAAGAAGAAACUCCCACCUCCUCUCACCGGAAAGAAAGCAAAAGGGAGAACACCUAUUAGAUGGUUGGAUGUGUUCAAAUGGAUCUCUAAGAAUGUUGAGUACAAUGUUAAGGAUAUCAGUCUGAAAGAGGCGCUCUCUUGAUUUACGGGUCGUGCAAAGUCGAGCUAACCGACUUUAAACAAAGCGCUGCGUGGGAGGCAACCCACGAGUUUUAAAUUCAAUGUUUUCAUUUGAAUUUGCAGAAAAUAACGAGA